This 515-nucleotide ribosomal RNA is filed under the name uncultured bacterium. Its description in RNAcentral is "partial 16S ribosomal RNA". It matches the Rfam family "Bacterial small subunit ribosomal RNA", at positions 28 to 523 of the family's 1533-position model. The record is from RNAcentral.
GAUGAACGCCGGCGGCGUGCCUAAUACAUGCAAGUCGAGCGAAUGGAUUAAGAGCUUGCUCUUAUGAAGUUAGCGGCGGACGGGUGAGUAACACGUGGGUAACCUGCCCAUAAGACUGGGAUAACUCCGGGAAACCGGGGCUAAUACCGGAUAACAUUUUGAACCGCAUGGUUCGAAAUUGAAAGGCGGCUUCGGCUGUCACUUAUGGAUGGACCCGCGUCGCAUUAGCUAGUUGGUGAGGUAACGGCUCACCAAGGCAACGAUGCGUAGCCGACCUGAGAGGGUGAUCGGCCACACUGGGACUGAGACACGGCCCAGACUCCUACGGGAGGCAACAGUAGGGAAUCUUCCGCAAUGGACGAAAGUCUGACGGAGCAACGCCGCGUGAGUGAUGAAGGCUUUCGGGUCGUAAAACUCUGUUGUUAGGGAAGAACAAGUGCUAGUUGAAUAAGCUGGCACCUUGACGGUACCUAACCAGAAAGCCACGGCUAACUACGUGCCAGCCGCCGCAGUAA